Molecule: long non-coding RNA, 1642 nt
Filed under: Zonotrichia albicollis (white-throated sparrow)
Lineage: Eukaryota; Metazoa; Chordata; Aves; Passeriformes; Passerellidae
Description: lncRNA (ENSZALG00000006583.1)
Source: RNAcentral
GGGAGUUGGUGGGGUUUUUUUGGUUGUGGUUUGAUUUAUUUGUAUUUUUAUCCUUCCAGCUGAGAGCAUUGAUUUGAAGCUGUAUCCUGAAAUGCUGAGACCAUUGGUGAGCUGUAGGAGGCCUUCAGCAAUGACCAGCUUUACUCCAGAAGGAAAAGGUUUUGUGCCUGGAGCUGCACUUCCCACCAUUGCAAGUCCUGCCCAGCUUGCACAGAACAGCUUCAGAAAUGACAAAGGCUGCAAGGUGCUCACACACUGUGAUGGCCAGCUGGACAGGAUUGAAAAGGACAGUGACAAGUUAUGCAAGCAAGCAGUGGAGCCACAGGCAGCGGGCAGUGCUGGGGACAACCUACUCUCCCUUCUGGAGCUCCAACUGGAUCACUGGCACCAGGUUUUAAAGGUCUGGAAUGGAAACAGAAAAUGGCUUUGACCCUAUUCCUCCUGGAUUGUCUGUCACCAUUCAGAGUCUGUCCUGCAGGUAUGAGUAUCUCUUUCACAGAUUGGGUGAAAAGAGUGAAGGAAAAGGGUGUUUUGUAUGUUCAACUCAUAUCAGCAUUGAAGUACUUGUGGCGGCUCUCCCAUCAAGGCAUGCUAAGUAGGGACACCUCACAAGGCAAUGUAAGGGCUGGCUAUAUUUUAUGACCUGAAUGCAAAACCUGUAUUAGUUUCAACCUGCUCCUAGUAACAUGUGUCUAAUGCUAAAUUAUCUCUUUCAUGUGGUUUUUGUAUUACACAUUAACCUCAGAUUGCUUUCAUGUGUUCAACUUUCACGAGUUCAAGAGUUUUGCAGGAAGAGCAAUGAAAUGUGUUUUUGUCAAUCUCUUUAGUUUUGGGGCCAAGCUGGGUUUCCAGUGGGCAAUUGGAACAGCACUGACUGCCUGGAGGAGCAGGAGUCAGCAACCUGUGUGGUGCAGGCAUGUGUGAGUGCCUGUGCCUGGAAGUGACUACAGAGGAUCCCAUUUGGGAAGAACUGUAACGGUGCAGGGCAAAGGCUGGAACAACCCAGGAACAAGCAGACUGGGAUAGGUAACCCUACAGAGUCCUUAUUUUCCUAAGCAUACGUGUUUCUAGAGAGGUAGGCAUGAAUGUAUAAAUGAUAGAACUCUCAAUGGUUUGUGCUGAGCAAUGCUGUGCCACAGCAGGGGGCUGGACUGACAGCUUUAGAUCUGCUGGACUCACUUCUUGUUGGCCUGUCUAAGCCUGAAUCUGAUUUUUAAACUAGAGCUAGCCCCAAACCUCCCCAGUCACAGCACCUGCUUUGCUCCUCCAUGCCACAAAUCCUCCGUGGAGGAAGGGGGACAGCUCCUUCUGUGUCUUUCUGAGUGGGAUGAUCUCAGCAUGAGUCACUUGCAGCAGGAUGUGGACCCUGUUUCUUUGGAAGCAGCUGCACAGCUCAGCACGUCCCUGACACAGCUUCUGGAACAAGGCAGGGCACCUUCCAAACCAAAGCAUUCAUGGGCAAGGCUUGAGCAUGCUCUAAUGUUGUGAAUGGCUCUCACCCGAGAGCAGGAUGUAACGACCAGAAAAGGGUGGGGAUAUUGUAGAUCCUUUUCCCUCAUUCUUAGUGUCCAGUUAGUACCCUAAAACAGUUAACUUGCGAGCCUGCAGCAAAAACCACAGGAGCAGUGAGCUCUCUAUUACA